GCGCAUGUGGCGUAAUUGGUAGCCGCGUUAGACUUAGGAUCUAAUGUCUUCGGACGUAUGGGUUCGAGUCCCAUCUUGCGCA
This 82-nucleotide transfer RNA is filed under the name Muribaculaceae bacterium. RNAcentral describes it as "tRNA-Leu". It matches the Rfam family "tRNA". Rfam says of the family: Transfer RNA (tRNA) molecules are approximately 80 nucleotides in length. Their secondary structure includes four short double-helical elements and three loops (D, anti-codon, and T loops). The record is from RNAcentral. Lineage: Bacteria; Pseudomonadati; Bacteroidota; Bacteroidia; Bacteroidales; Muribaculaceae.